CGCAUGCGGACAGCCCACCCCAAGGGAAGAAAGGGAAGGAUCGUGGGGAGAAGCAACGCAAGACCCCGGAAGCAUGCCAACGUGUAAAACCCCAAGUCAAAGGUCAAACAGUGCACUCGAUCUCUCAAGUCACCUGCUUGGCCCUCUACUAAAAAGGGAGAUGCCAUGUGCUGGCCCAGCACUCCAACAGGGGCCUGACCUCUAGGAACGGGACACUGGAGGAAGCCUAGACAUUUGAACAAAUCAAGUCAUCCAGAUCCACGGUCAGC
RNAcentral lists this long non-coding RNA (269 nucleotides) under Pan troglodytes (chimpanzee). Its description in RNAcentral is "long non-coding RNA NONPTRT005456". The record is from RNAcentral. Lineage: Eukaryota; Metazoa; Chordata; Mammalia; Primates; Hominidae.